GACGAACGCUGGCGGCGUGCCUAAUACAUGCAAGUAGAACGCUGAAGGAGGAGCUUGCUUCUCUGGAUGAGUUGCGAACGGGUGAGUAACGCGUAGGUAACCUGCCUGGUAGCGGGGGAUAACUAUUGGAAACGAUAGCUAAUACCGCAUAACAGUAGAUGUUGCAUGACAUUUGCUUAAAAGGUGCAAUUGCAUCACUACCAGAUGGACCUGCGUUGUAUUAGCUAGUUGGUGGGGUAACGGCUCACCAAGGCGACGAUACAUAGCCGACCUGAGAGGGUGAUCGGCCACACUGGGACUGAGACACGGCCCAGACUCCUACGGGAGGCAGCAGUAGGGAAUCUUCGGCAAUGGACGGAAGUCUGACCGAGCAACGCCGCGUGAGUGAAGAAGGUUUUCGGAUCGUAAAGCUCUGUUGUAAGAGAAGAACGAGUGUGAGAGUGGAAAGUUCACACUGGACGGUAUCUACCA
RNAcentral lists this ribosomal RNA (471 nucleotides) under Streptococcus mitis. RNAcentral's name for it is "bacterial SSU rRNA". It matches the Rfam family "Bacterial small subunit ribosomal RNA", at positions 28 to 485 of the family's 1533-position model. The record is from RNAcentral. Lineage: Bacteria; Bacillati; Bacillota; Bacilli; Lactobacillales; Streptococcaceae.